RNAcentral lists this ribosomal RNA (301 nucleotides) under uncultured bacterium. RNAcentral's name for it is "partial 16S ribosomal RNA". It matches the Rfam family "Bacterial small subunit ribosomal RNA", at positions 509 to 808 of the family's 1533-position model. The record is from RNAcentral.
CAGCAGCCGCGGUAAUACGUAGGUGGCAAGCGUUGUCCGGAAUUAUUGGGCGUAAAGGGCUCGCAGGCGGUUUCUUAAGUCUGAUGUGAAAGCCCCCGGCUCAACCGGGGAGGGUCAUUGGAAACUGGGAAACUUGAGUGCAGAAGAGGAGAGUGGAAUUCCACGUGUAGCGGUGAAAUGCGUAGAGAUGUGGAGGAACACCAGGGCGAAGGCGACUCUCUGGUCUGUAACUGACGCUGAGGAGCGAAAGCGUGGGGAGCGAACAGGAUUAGAUACCCGCGUAGUCCCUGUCUCUUAUACA